GCUUGCUUUGGCAGCAUGUGCUGGAAUUGGAGUGAUACAGAGAAGAGUAGCGUGGCCCCUGUGCAAAGAUGACACGCAAAUGUGUGAAAAGUUCCAUAUUUAA
This is a small nuclear RNA of Choloepus didactylus (southern two-toed sloth), 103 nucleotides long. Lineage: Eukaryota; Metazoa; Chordata; Mammalia; Pilosa; Megalonychidae. The record is from RefSeq and is a predicted model, not a curated record.